Molecule: ribosomal RNA, 253 nt
Filed under: uncultured bacterium
Lineage: Bacteria
Description: partial 16S ribosomal RNA
Rfam family: Bacterial small subunit ribosomal RNA
Source: RNAcentral
UACGUAGGUGGCAAGCGUUGUCCGGAUUUAUUGGGUUUAAAGGGUGCGUAGGCGGUCCCAUAAGUCAGUGGUGAAAUACUCUAGCUUAACUAGAGGGGUGCCAUUGAUACUGCGGGACUUGAGUGGAGUUGAAGUGAGCGGAAUUGACGGUGUAGCGGUGAAAUGCUUAGAUAUCGUCAAGAACACCGAUAGUGAAGACAGCUCACUAAGCUCAAACUGACGCUGAGGCACGAAAGUGUGGGGAUCAAACAGG